CACAUCCUGUGUCAAUAGGGAGGUUUCUGUCCUGGCUUACACUGAGGUCCCCUCACAGUGUCCUUCACACGGUAAUACAAGGCCGUGUCCUCAGUUCUCAAGCUGUUCAUCUGCAGAUACAGUAUGUUCUUGCCGUUGUCUCUGGAGAUGGUGAAUCGGCCCUUCACAGAGUCUGCAUAGCUUGUGCUACUUCCAUCAUAGCUUAUACAUGCGACCCACUGCAGUCCCUUCCAAGGAGCCUGGCGGACCCAAUGCAUGUAGUAGUUGCUGAAGGUGAAUCCAGAGGCUGCACAGGAGAGUCUCAGGGACCCUCCAGGCUUCACCAGGUCUCCCCCAGACUCCACUAGCUUCAUCUCACACUGGACAUCUGCAGACACAAGAUACCCAAGUAAGGGAUCGGUCACACCCCCAUGGCUUCUCUCACUCAUAUCCACUCACAUCCUCAAUUUCUUUGGUUCUCCAGAAAUUACCUUUUAAAAGAUCAACAAGGUAAACCCAGCCAAGCACAAACUCCCUGGUGAGUUCUCUGUGUUCUAUCCUGAUCAGUGAAUGUGGGCACCUGGAAAUCCCAGGCCUGGGGCUC
RNAcentral lists this long non-coding RNA (583 nucleotides) under Mustela putorius furo (domestic ferret). RNAcentral describes it as "lncRNA (ENSMPUG00000027539.1)". The record is from RNAcentral. Lineage: Eukaryota; Metazoa; Chordata; Mammalia; Carnivora; Mustelidae.